This 1381-nucleotide ribosomal RNA is filed under the name Salmonella enterica. RNAcentral describes it as "partial 23S ribosomal RNA". It matches the Rfam family "Bacterial large subunit ribosomal RNA", at positions 1568 to 2925 of the family's 2925-position model. RNAcentral also lists the same sequence under 2 other names. The record is from RNAcentral. Lineage: Bacteria; Pseudomonadati; Pseudomonadota; Gammaproteobacteria; Enterobacterales; Enterobacteriaceae.
GACGAGGCACUACGGUGCUGAAGCAACAAAUGCCCUGCUUCCAGGAAAAGCCUCUAAGCAUCAGGUAACACGAAAUCGUACCCCAAACCGACACAGGUGGUCAGGUAGAGAAUACCAAGGCGCUUGAGAGAACUCGGGUGAAGGAACUAGGCAAAAUGGUGCCGUAACUUCGGGAGAAGGCACGCUGACACGUAGGUGAAGUGAUUUACUCAUGGAGCUGAAGUCAGUCGAAGAUACCAGCUGGCUGCAACUGUUUAUUAAAAACACAGCACUGUGCAAACACGAAAGUGGACGUAUACGGUGUGACGCCUGCCCGGUGCCGGAAGGUUAAUUGAUGGGGUCAGCGUAAGCGAAGCUCCUGAUCGAAGCCCCGGUAAACGGCGGCCGUAACUAUAACGGUCCUAAGGUAGCGAAAUUCCUUGUCGGGUAAGUUCCGACCUGCACGAAUGGCGUAAUGAUGGCCAGGCUGUCUCCACCCGAGACUCAGUGAAAUUGAACUCGCUGUGAAGAUGCAGUGUACCCGCGGCAAGACGGAAAGACCCCGUGAACCUUUACUAUAGCUUGACACUGAACAUUGAGCCUUGAUGUGUAGGAUAGGUGGGAGGCUUUGAAGUGUGGACGCCAGUCUGCAUGGAGCCGACCUUGAAAUACCACCCUUUAAUGUUUGAUGUUCUAACGUGGACCCGUAAUCCGGGUUGCGGACAGUGUCUGGUGGGUAGUUUGACUGGGGCGGUCUCCUCCUAAAGAGUAACGGAGGAGCACGAAGGUUGGCUAAUCCUGGUCGGACAUCAGGAGGUUAGUGCAAUGGCAUAAGCCAGCUUGACUGCGAGCGUGACGGCGCGAGCAGGUGCGAAAGCAGGUCAUAGUGAUCCGGUGGUUCUGAAUGGAAGGGCCAUCGCUCAACGGAUAAAAGGUACUCCGGGGAUAACAGGCUGAUACCGCCCAAGAGUUCAUAUCGACGGCGGUGUUUGGCACCUCGAUGUCGGCUCAUCACAUCCUGGGGCUGAAGUAGGUCCCAAGGGUAUGGCUGUUCGCCAUUUAAAGUGGUACGCGAGCUGGGUUUAGAACGUCGUGAGACAGUUCGGUCCCUAUCUGCCGUGGGCGCUGGAGAACUGAGGGGGGCUGCUCCUAGUACGAGAGGACCGGAGUGGACGCAUCACUGGUGUUCGGGUUGUCAUGCCAAUGGCACUGCCCGGUAGCUAAAUGCGGAAGAGAUAAGUGCUGAAAGCAUCUAAGCACGAAACUUGCCCCGAGAUGAGUUCUCCCUGAGACUUAGAGUCUCCUGAAGGAACGUUGAAGACGACGACGUUGAUAGGCCGGGUGUGUAAGCGCAGCGAUGCGUUGAGCUAACCGGUACUAAUGAACCGUGAGGCUUAACCUU